This is a non-coding RNA of Xyrichtys novacula (pearly razorfish), 26572 nucleotides long. Lineage: Eukaryota; Metazoa; Chordata; Actinopteri; Labriformes; Labridae. The record is from the annotation of a GenBank genome assembly.
CCGCUCCCUGAGGACAUCCUGCUGCUGCCUCCUGUUUCAUAUGAGCUGAAAUGUGAAAUAUUUCACUCAGCCGGGCCUGCAUGAAUACGCCGUGUUUCCAGAGGUGCGUGCAACCAGAAAUGUGAGUUAUUGCGCAUGCAUACUCUGACGGUCUAGAUUCAAUCAUCAUUUCAUAAAGGUAGAAAUCUGAAAAAUGUAGGAAAAUCUCUGCUUUCACCCCCCGUGUGUGUGGGUUUCAUACAAACACAGAUGGAUGUUGAAUUGAUGUGUUUAAUUCAAGGCCGAAGUGUUGAUGGUUCUCAGUGUGUUUAACACGUAUUCUUGGGUGUGUUAAAGCAGACCUUUGCUUCUCUGUUGAUAGGCGUCCUAUAAGAGCUGCACAACCCUCUGAAUAUACGAGGGAAAUAUUCAGCACAUUUACUUACGUCUCAUAAACUCUUACGGACUCAGAUUGCUGAAAUAUUUCACCUGAAUGAGGCACUAAAAGGCCAACGCUACGAACAAUAAAAAAGGAAAAGACGGCAGUGUUUGACUGGAGGAGGUGGCAGAGGUUAAAGCUCCUGUAAGGAGAUCUGCGACAUUUAUGAAACUGAUGCUUUUUUAUGACGUGCAAAAAAAAAGACACCAGGAGCGAGAAAAAUGACGGAUCUGAUAUCAUCGCUUUUAUUGGGAGGGUCGGAGUCUGCUAGGCUCUGGAUAUCCAUCUUAUACUCCGAAUAUUCAAUAAUUUAUUCUAUCAGGAAUCAGCAUUUGAUAUUUUUUACUUUAGCAUGUUCAGGGCAAGAUAUGCAAAGACUGCUUUGACCACAGGGGGCGCCAAAUUAGCACCAACCAAAAGUGGGUGUACAAAAUUUGUAGCGCCAAACUUGCUGCAAAGUGAUAAGUUUAAAAGUUAAACAAACAGUGAUAUAAUUGUCGUCCAAUAAUUAGAGUGAACUAUUUCCUGUUAACAUAAUCUGUCAGAUUAUUUAUGAUCGGGAUUUUUGCUAAAAUUUUUGUUUUCGGUUUUCAUAUCAGGAAAAGUUUGCACAUAAAUGAAAAACAUAUAGUUGUCUUUAUUUAUUUGGCUCUUCAACUGCUUUGACCACAGGGGGCGCCAAAUUAGCACCAACUAAAAGCCAACAUGAACAUUUGUCACGCCAAAGUUGACUGGUUUAAAAAUUACACAAACAGUGAUGUAACUGUUGUCCACCAAUAAGAACAAACAAUUUCUUAACAUCAUAAUCCAUCACAUUAUUUAUAAAGUCAUUUUCGCCGCAAUUUUUGUUUUUAGUUUUCUUGUCACUAAGAGUUCACGCAUCAACAAAAACAUCGCCAUUGUUAUUUAUUCAACUUUUAUUCUUCGCAUGUAUUUUCAAACAUGCAUAAGUCACUUUAUAUUCUCGCUCUAUGGACUAUUGGGAGGAUAGGAGUUAGCUAGGCAACCGCCUCACAACAAAUAUCCAUCUUAUACCCCGACUAUGUGAAAAAUUUGACUAUCAGCAGUCAGCAAAUGAUUUUUCUUACUUAAGCUUUUAUUUUGUGCUAAUUUGGAGCAGACAUUGCAUGUCUUGUGCGAGUGUGAAAAUUUGUUGCGCCAAACUUUUUGCGAAGUUUCACGUUUAAAAAUUAAACAAACAGUGAUGUAAUUGUCGUCAUCCAAUCAGAGCGCACUAUUUCCUCUCAUCAUGAUUGGUCAGAUUAUUUUUGUUUUCAGUUUUCUCAUCACGAAAAGAUCGCGCAUUAACGAAAAAUGUAUGAUCGUCGUUAUUUAUUCGUCUCUUAAUCUUUGCAUGUUUUCCAAAAUGAAGUCAAACUCCUCGUAACCUCACAUACGUCACGUUACAUACUCGCUCUAUAGACUACGGCGACCCAGAAUCCUUUGCCCGGCGUUUGAGGCUGAUGGGAAGUUUAUUUAUCCGUCGCUGAGUCAUGCUGGGACGCUCAGCCGCAGAUGUUGACAGAUCGUCUUUAAAUGUAAAUGAGCUGUCAGCGGGGUGACAAAAUCCAUUUGUAAACUGAAUGAUUUACACCCCGGCUGUCAAUGAAUCAAACGCUCAACCGUCGAUCAAUAAAUCAAUCAAAUCAUCAAUCUGUGAAGACGUGUGUAUGUGUGUGUGUACAUGUCAAUAAGAGUUGAUCUAAGAAGACGUUCAAACUCUUUUAUCUGCUCUUUCAUCGACGACUGUCAGGCCUUGAGUGAGACGAGAGGAGAUAGCCUGCAGGAGGAGAGAGGUGAGAUGAUGUUGCCAUGGUAACGCAUGUUUUCCACCCUGCAGGAACAGCAGAAACUCAUAAAAUUUCAUGUAAACAGCACAGCGGUGCGACUAUAAACUUUAUUCAAUAGGAAGGCUUUCUGAUACGACAUGACAUCCUUUCUCUCUUUGCCAAACCCGCCCUGAAAAAUCACUAAACGCAGCUUAUCAUGUUUUUUUUCAUAUUCAUCCGCCGUAAUGAAGACACGUCUCAACACCUCGGCGAGUGGAGAGCGUGUUACCUCCUGGUGUUAGCUGAGGUGAGGAGGAGUUUGUGUUCCAGCGUGACCCCUGAAUCAUUUUAAUAAACAUUAAAUCCCUCCCCUGCUGAGUCCUGCUGGAUUCUCUCACAUUUCAGAGAUUAUCGAUUCGCAGGCUUCUCGAAAACUAAAGGGAGCAAUGGAUCAAAUCCUAAUUAGACUCUGAGAUGUUUUUCUUGUUGAUCCUGGAGGCUCAAUCCAGGAACUUUUGUUCGUAAACAACUAUUUCUCCAAGCCCCACGAACCACAAAGGUUUUUGUUUUUUUUGUUUCUGAAAUCCAUCAGUGGAAGCUGGAAAAUAAACCCAACAUGAAAGUGCAGAAAACAACAACACUGCAGUUCCUCGAGUGUCCACUAGAGGCUGGCUACAAAAGCAGAGAAGAGAAUGUGUUAACGUGAGGGUUUUAAUCUGGCCUGGUACACAGUGAUGUGUCGUUCAUGAACGAUUCGUUCAAAAGAACUGAACUGCUGAGUGAACGACAUGAACUGAAUCACUCCGAGACCUGAUUCGCUCCUUUUUCAGUUCAGUUGAGCUCAGCCGCGAGCCUGGCGUGCUGAGUGCCGACGGCGACACAUUGAAUCAGCUGACUGAUUCAGUGAACGAAUCUUUUAAACAAAUCAUUUUAAUGACUGAAUUCUAAAGAUUCACUACAGUCAAAAGAACGGUUCUUCCCAUCACUACUGGUAUAACACUUCUGAUGACUCGCUUAUACCGCCGAUAUCGAGGCCGUGAGUUUCGCUUGAUUCUGCAAAAUCCUGGUCACGAUCUGAUUUGAAGAACAAGUACUAACGACAAGUCUGUGACCUGAACUUCACUUCUUCUCUUGUUAGUAUAUUAUCCAGGUUUUUUACAUCCUAUUUUAGGUCAUAUUUGUUAUUGUUGUUAUUUUAGGCCAGGCGAAUAAUUUCUGCCUAAUAGGAGUUAACGUUUCCAAAACAGCGAACUUCAUUGUUUGGCUUUAUUAGGACACCUCGACACCAUGUCUUAAUUUUAGUGAUCUCUCAGUAUUAAUAAAUAAUAACAGACACAUGUCAAAUUUGGAAAAGUUGUGCAACUCGGGAAAUGUGUGGAGAAGAUCGUGUUUGCACCAAACUUGAGAUAUUGAAAAGGCAGUCAGUGUUAUUCAAAGAGUGGCCACCAGGGUAAAUUUGUGCCUCUAAAUGUUUAUUUGUACCUGCCCAGGUAUAUUUUCCAUGAACCAUUUCUGCAUUUUUCUUCAUUUUUAACCAUUUUCAAUAACUUCUCAUGAUUAAUAAACAACCCUGCACCCUCCUGCCUCUGUUCUUCAUCUUCACUCUCCAGCUGAUCAGAAACAAACGUCCCUCGUUAAGUUUCCUCUCAUGCUCAGAUUCGGGGUCGGACGUCUCACGACCCGCCGCUUGUCUCUCUCUUGACUUUUGUUGCAUUUUAAAUUCAACCUUCCCGAUGUGACACUUUUCCAAUAACAAGAUCGUGAGUUCAACUUUUUAAAAUGGGAGUGAGGCUGACGGUCUGAACAAAGUCUGGACAAACUCUUUAUAACAAAAACAAAACAAGUGUCGGGCAAAACCAGAGCUGCAAAAAUACACAAUGAUGGCAAGAAAACGGCAGAGGACAUAUUACAACUAUUCAGGCUAAUACCGUACCAAUGCCGGUGUUGGGUAGUAACGCGUUAUUAGCUACGCCAUGACUUAACACGGUUACUUUAUCUACGUUCCUUUUAGUGAGGUUUUACAACAGCACACAGUUUCCGCAACAUUUUAACAAACAUGAAAUAUUUUAACGUUUAACAAACACACGCCAUGAAGAGGAACAGACGGGUCAGGGAACGGAGAGAAGAGGAAGAUAAGUUUCUCCUCGAGGAUUUACUCACAUUAUCUUCAACUCGAGAGAAAAGAGAAAAACAACAUUUCGGUAACAUAUAAACGGUGUCCCGGGUCAGAAAUCCUUUCUACAGCAGCAACAACAAUCGACUGAAGCACCGAGAGGAGCGGCGUGCUUCGACAGAGUUAGCAGCUAAGGUAGCUAAUGUAGCAUCCAAGAUCGAGAGUCACAGCAGCGAGUACACUCCCACUCCACCCGAGCAGCAGAGGUUGGAGUUUAAAAGACGGACACAUGUCCAGACUUAACUUAACUCGUAUGUUAAAUUAUUUAUUUGGAUCUCUUUUAGUAAUAUCAGUCUAUUAUUCCAGGAGUUCAACGGUAAAUCUUUGGUGUUAAGGUCCUUCCACACCAGGACCGUUUUUUUCGAUUAUUUCGAUUAUUUCAGACGUCAAUAUUUUUUUUCGAACCUGUAUUCUGUCAAUACAAGCGUUCACAUCAGCGACGUUUCCCCGUCCUGCAAUAUCCGGCUGUUAAGCCGUGACGUAGCCGCGUUCUCUUUUUCCACUUCCGGGUCCAGCGGAGUUGUUGUUAUAAUGCCUCAGUACUAUGUCCCUUGCUGCUUAAACUGAUCAGAGACAAAAACAGCGACUAAACUAUCAUUCUACAGAUUUCCUCCCAACAACAAAGACAACAAAAUAACUUUAUCAUUUCUGUAUUGUAUCCAUAGACUGUAUACAGUCUAUGAUCGUAUCACAAACACACGGCAUCACAUCCAUUCAUUCAUUGAAUUCAAAGCUUUGCGCACCAAAGCCUCGGGGUGUCUUUGGUUUAUCGUUUUACAUUUAUUGUCCACUUGAUGGCGCAAUAGAGCAAAUGAAGCACGAUCAUGAAGCUUCGGCCCAGGAGGCGAGUAAUUGGAUGAAAAGCUUCGAUGCUUCAUGAGGCUUCAUCUCGCCAUCACUAAAAUUUACGUUAAUAACUCUAUCCGAGUUGAAAGCUUUAAGUCCCUUUUUAACUCUGAGUGGUUCCCUUCUGAAAAAGGAGGUUAUUUUAAAGAGAUUCACGGGUUCCGCCAUUGUUGUUUUGAAUGGAGAGUGAAUGGAGGCUGAUUCCCCAUGGACCCGGAAGCCGCUCCGCUCACAAAAUGACAUCACGCUUAACAGCCGGAUUGCGGCAUUUAUCUUUUCGUAUAACGGCCGAAUUUUCUAAAGUUUCUCAUACUGUGUGUCCACUUCUGACCAAUCAGAUUGCGUGUUGUUGCAACGCCUGAUUCACCGGUAUAUCCAACAUGGCUGACCUGCUGAUUUUUAACGUGUAUAUCUAUCUAUCUAUUUAUAAUUCAUAGCUGUAACGAGUUACUAUUUUUCAAGCACAAAGUCUUAUUGAGAGAUUUACUGAUUCCAACCUGUGACUCUCCUCAAACAUCUGCAGGUUAUCUCAGGCUGUAGGGAGGAAAAACACGCGGUGAUGUGGAGUCGAGUCAUUCUGCUGAUCGACAGCAGCAGGAAAAUUUAACAAAUUAUGAGUCACUGUGCAGGUUCAGGCUUCAUGUGAGUGUUUUCUUUUCCAUUCUGGGAAAUCCGUUUAAACUUAGUCUGACAGAAAAAAACAAAAAGUUCCCGACGAAGUAAUCUUCCCAAAACAAACUUAACACCCUCUUUAGAGAGAAGUGAGAGUCUUCUCUGAGCGUUUCGACUUCAUGUACGAAGCAAACCUGACAGAUCUUCAAUACGUCUGGAUGAAAAGUGCUUUUACUCGCCAAACUCCCCGUUUCCAACCUGCCAGAUUUUGGAGGCAGGAUGUAAAAUCUAAUGUUGAAGCUUUUAGGGAGACGCACAAAGAAACCUGACGGGUAUCGAGUUCAGUCGACGUCCCUGAAAGUUCAGCAAAUACUGAUCCCACAAAGUCCUGAAAAGGAGCUCCUCUUCCAGACUGUAGAACAGUACCCCCCAGUGUGCAAACACACACAGACACACAAACACAGUUACGCACUGCAGCCAGAUAUUAUGCCAACAACCCCGGACGACGGCGGCGGCGACGUGACAUUUGAAUGAGAACUCAAGAUGCUGAAGUGAAACUCUGAAAAACGUGGUGGUUGGUGGAUUGUGGCGAGCCGCUUCAGUCCGUCCCCCCUCCUCACUUUUCCUCUUUCUCUCUGUCCUCAGUCUCUCUCUCUCUCUCUCUCUCUGUCACUCUGAGUUUUUUCCUCUAUAACUAGAACUUAUCCUGAUUUCAACUUCCCCUCCCCUUUAUUACAAACAGCCUGCCAGGGUAUCCUUAUUUAGGAGUUUGUCCUCAAUUUUCCUCCCCGCGCUGAAACACUAAGUCCUCUAUAAUAGAGGAAAACAACAGCACACACACACACACACACACACACACACACACACACACACACUUUGUUCUCUCUCUCUUUCCUCUAACUCCAGCCAACGCUGGCGUGUGCGGCGCUCGACUCUUUCGCGCUUAGUCAGCUGAAACUCGGAUGCAUCGUCUGAACCGAAAAAAGGAAAAAAAAAAAGCCUCUCUGCAUUCCUGUGGCGGCAUCUAAAGGAACAUUUCAGUCAAAAUCAGCCGUGGCGUCCUAAUGAGAUCAAGAUGGAUUAUGAGCUGCACUCUGCAGCGAGCUGCCAGCGCCUGACACGGCCCGCCGUGCGCCGAGCUGCUGUUCGCUAAGAUGUAAAAAGGGCAACUUUUAAUCUCAUUCCCCCCGCGUGGAAAGGCAUAAUAAGUAAUCGUGUUACCCAUCAGCCCCGACUCCGCGCUCGGGUUAUGUGCAUUACUGACAGUGAGGGAUGAUGUGCUGAAAUUUAACCCAGCACUUACCUCGACUCAGAUAUACGCCGGCGUGUGUGAGAGUGUGUGAAAGUGUGUGUGAAAGUGUGUUAAUCUGUGUGUGGUGCGAGGAAGAAAGAGAGGAUAUUCCAGAGAGACAGAAAAAGUGAAGUCAAAAGGGCAGCAGUCUGCAAUUUCAAGACAAAUCUGCUCAAGUCCAGCCGCCUUUACUCGCCCGGUUAGUUCAUCAGUACUCUCUCUCUCUCUCUCUUUCCAGCAUACGACCAUCACUCAGUACGUUUACACGACUCUCGAGAAAACCGAAUUAUCGCCUUAUUCCGAUUAAGACCAGACAACUGAAGUUCAUGUAAACACCUUAGUCUGACUAUAAUCGGAGUUUGAGAACUCUAAUUAAGACACCCAGAUAAUGAGAUUGGAGUUCAAUUUUCUCUACCAUGUAACCAGCGUAGUCAGAGUAAGAUCAGACGAUGCAUGUGCGCAUGCGCCACGCCCCUGUAACCCCGGAGCAAAAACCACCAGAGAAGAGGAGUAGCGUGCGUCUACAUCAUGUAGGACAAAAACAACGCUGUACGAUGCUCCAUCUUCUUGCAGCAGUUGUAGACACUUCUGACAUCUGACACCGACCUGCUGCUGUUGUUGACAGUUGGAUGGGGUCGGAAACAGCGCCGCUGAAAAGACCCAUAUCGCCCCCUAGUGUUGGGGAGGAGGACACGUUCACGUUAAUAAUUAAAAAAACUGAAAAACUGACUCAUGAGCUUGGUCCGCUUAAACUUUUCACGUAAACGCACUGACUGUCGUACAAAUCAUGGAUCAAUCAGAUCUUUAAUUUCAUGAUUUUAUUCCCUGAUUUUCUGCAACGAUACAGGAAUGGGAAUGAUGUGAAAUCGCAAGAAGAUGAAGCACCGGCUGCUAGUGAGUGAGUGAGCUAGCUGUAGCAUCUUUAAAAAAGUGAUUUUCAGAGAUUUUUUUUCUUUUCAACCGUAAUGAAAAUAGCAGGAAUAUUAGAUAUGUGUGAAUGUCUGUGAGAGUCAAUUAAAAAAAAAAAAAGCAUUAUAUUUGAAUGUUUGAGGACGAUGGCUCAAACAUACAUAAUAAACAAAAAAAACAAUUUCACUUUGGAGGCGAUGCUAAAAAACGACAAUUUUCUGAGAUUUGCUGUAAAUCCACGAACCGUUUCAAGUUUUUAACAUUUUCCUUUGACCGUGUUCAUUCUACUAGAAGUAGUGUACUUCAAAAUAAAAGCAGGAAACAAAGUCAAAGACAAUAAAGAACAUCAAAAUAAAAGCACGACAGGCUCGUUUUGGCGUCAUUUUAAUUUUAGGGCUGAUGAAGAUUCAGAAAAAUCGUAAAUUUGAAUCUUAUUAGAAAUAGAUGAUGACGUAUUUAUCAGUCAAGGUCACGAUGUAACAUGUUGCUUCACCCUCGUCUCUUCUCGUUUGGCUGAUUGUGUUUAAUUUUUUAAGUUUUACUUUUUUUUUAUUGUUUUCCAUAAAAGUUAAAAUUAAAUCUUUAUAUUUUACAGCUUUAAUAAUCAAACCUGAUUUGAUUACUUAGUCAACUUUAAGACUUCUUAACUCCGAGGAAAGUUAAGUGUUUGCUUUUCUGUUUUUUUGCGUCUUUUGCACGCCGACGUGAACCUCAGUUAAUCCCAUUUCCCCCCAGAUAUUAGACAGGGCCGUUAUUAUCCUCCGUCUGAAGGAAAACCAUCAUUUUAACCUUUAACCAGUUUUCCUAAACCACUUUUAUUUUGCCUUUUUGUGUCAUUUAAUCGGGACUAACUCUUUAACAUCCAUCGCUCUGUUUUUAAUAAUGAGUACUGAAGCCUCGUCUGUGUUCUGGGAGGUAAAAUGACUGUUUUUCUGAAUGAGUUAAGAGGAGAAAGAUGUAACGACUGUUUUUGCUUUCCAACAAAGUGAGCUCGUCUAUUUUUAGAGUUUUUUUCUUUCUGUAAUGUUGUCAGAAACCUAAAAUAAAAAAUCCCUCUGAGCCGGCACUUUCUGUGGAUUCGAGCUCGCUGCGGUGAGGAGACGCUCGCCAGCGAGGAUUACACUGCAGCAAUUUGCUCCAAACCGAGUCGACUGAAGUAACACCAAAACAAUCUGAACCUGCAAUUUACACACAGAAAAAAAACAGCUCCAGGUUCGAAAAUAAUAAACCAACGACAGAUUUCCACUGUAAAAUCUCCGUCUGCGAACGCCAUCGAGUGAGUGAGUGAGUGAGUGAGUGAGUCAGUGACAGAUCACGGCUUACAGGACUUUUCCAUUUCCAUCUCCCCCACCACAGUCCACUCAUCCUCUCCUGCACACUCAUAAAGCACAAUUAACUCCUUAUACAUAUUCAUUAGCUCAAGCAUGUUGUCAUUCGCUUCAAAAUGAUUGCAAUCGAAUUAGCAUAAUUAAACAUUAUCUAUGGUAAUGCUGCUGGACCGCCGGCCCGACCGACCAGCCUCCCCAGCCGUGUUUGGAUGUGUGUCAGCGGCGCUGCGCUGCGCUACGCUACGCACAGCCAUGAUGGAUAAUAUAAUUAUGUUUGGGAGACAAUGGGAGCCCUGCGGUAUUGUUAUUAAUGUUCUCUGGUUAUAACGACGCCCCCUACAUGAAUAGGCAUGUCUGCGAGAGGAAAUCUGUGUGUGACGACAACCAGAGACAGAGAGAGAGAGAGAGAGAGAGAGCACAUGACUGAGAGUGUGAGACAUGAGAGGAAAGAGUGAGUUUGUUCAUCUUUUCUUCUUAAAGUUAUUAAAUCAAACACCUUUACAGUCAGGUGAGUCACAGCGAGAAAGAUAAAUAUAUCAGUGUGUAAAAUAAACUGAAACUCCGAUCUUAAAAACUCAAACAUGGUUUGAGUCGCUCAGAAGAUGAUUUUCUGUUGUUUAUGAUGAAAAUCAUGUUUUUCUUGUUGUCUUCAUGUUCAUAUGUUCAUUUUUCUGAUACUCGCUCUUUAAUGUCUUUUGUAUCAAAUUUGACACAAACUUUUAUAAACUUCUGUCAAAUCAAUAUGAUCAACAAAUGACAUAAAAACACGUGAAUACAGUCAAAUAAAUGAUAAAAUUCUCCUUUUGUAGUUUAUCAGUUUCCAAAAACAUUUAAUGUAUCAAACCAGAUAAAUAAAAUAAAUUAGAUUUUUUUUGGUUUUCAGUAGUGAGUGAAAUCAACAUUUCAGCUCCAAAAAAAUGUGAAUUUUCUGGCCAUAAUUUGUGGUUUCAGUCGUUAAAGUGUUUGAGGACAUACUGUGAGAAAAGUAAGUGCAAAAUUGCAUUUCGGAGUAUUUCUUCUUUCACAUCUCUGUGAAUCUCUGGCAGACUCAAACGAUAGGAUCAGACAUAAUGAGAUUUCCUAUGUCACAAAUCAAAGCUCCGCCCCCAGAGCCUCGCUCUGCAGGCCAGACUCAGAAAAAUAGAGAGGACGAUCGUGGAACAAGCGUGUGCGUUAGGGGAUAGCAAUGCUCCUAAGGAAGUUAAUUAUAUUAACAUUCAUAGUGUCCCCAAAGACAUUAGUGCUUAAUAGCUCCUCUGUCACCGCUGAUGUUAGGCUACAAGCUAACAUGAAGACGAGUGUGCAGAGCAGCACUGACUCCGCCCACGACUCAGAGGCGUAUUGUUAAUGAUCUACUGGAGCUCUGCAGAAAAAAAGGUCUUGAAAAUGACAGGUAACGUGAUUUUGGCUUAAAACUUAAUCGCAAUUCAAAAACCACAAAGAACACUUUAAGUAGUAAAAAAAACGAUCAGAGCAGGACUUUAAAGGGAUAUUCCGAUGUAAAAUUAAAUUAGGGUCAAACACAGCGUAACACCAAGUUAGACACCCCCUUAAUCUCUUUGUGUUUCCCACAUUUGAAGUUUAGUUUCUUUGACGCAAAGUUGAUUUUUAACAAACUUAGUGCGCUUCUUUUUUGGUCGUCAAACAUGGAUCCAUGUCAUUGAAACAGUGUGAAAAUCUGUCAUAAGAAGUAAUUCUUAUAUUUCAGAUUCCUGAAAUAUUUAAGCGUGCACACACUCAUGCAUCACUCCAUUUAUAAAUCAAACUAAACUUGAGAGUAUGCACACACAGUUCAGCCUCAUAUUCGAAGUUAUGAUCACAAUCUUAACAAGCAGGCUCUGUUUUGUGAGCGUUAAACAUUCACAGUAUGAAUGAAACUCUUAAAGAAACAUUCAGUGAGUAAACUUUUCUGUUUUUAGAGUCUUCAGCUCCUCAAACGCCCUUUCACCUUAUUUCGCCGCACACCACCUUCGCAUUAGCUCCCACUCACCGCGCUGACACUCGCAGAUCUAAAAUUACGCCUCAUGUUGUAACCGAGUGAAUCCCGGGAUGAACCCGUCCUCAUCCUCGUGUUCCUCCACGUGCGCUCUGGGCGUGUCCGUCUGACGAGUCCACACCCUGUACAGCUGAGCCGAAUGCCGGGUAGCCAAACAGAGACGCUGGAUGACUCAUCAGGGCGUGUGUGUGUGUGAGUGUGUGUGUGAGUGUGUGUUUGAGUGUGUUAUACUGUUCCCAUCCAUUCACCACAAUAACACAGACCUCACAGGCCAGCAGCUUCUUGCACAAACCCAUCCAUCCUGAUGACAAGUGGUGUUUACAUAGUGAUGGUUACUUACAGACAGACAAGCUCGCAGUGAAGGAAGAUCUAUGUUUUACACUUAGCAGCAGUAAAAGCUCAGAUCCACAGUGGAGGAGCCCGAGACCCGGAGGCCCCCUGUUAAUCUCCCCAUCUACUAUUGAGCCCUAUUUCUCUCAUCACUCUGUCUGCAAGUGGAAAAAAUAUCUGCCAGCGGGAUGAGAGCAUUUGUCAGUGAAACAGCUUCAAGAGUUGUCAUGAACUGAAAUUGCAGUGUUGAAAUAAGUGAGACCAUUUUGCUUCUGAGGAGAGGAGUGAAAAAAAAAAGAAGAAAAAAUGACGGGAGCAGGAAGGAGAAACUUUUUAAAACUUCACCAGACACAAUUCUUUUCUAAUCAGGCGCAAAUUUCCUGCUGAAUUUUACAACUUUUUGCACAUGAACACGUUUCCUUCUAGACACAGCUUGAUAUCAGUGUAGAAUCACUUCUUAUGCAGACGAUAGACUCAUAAUCUCAGACUGAAAACUUAAACGUGAAACUUAAAUACUUCGAUUAAUUACAUCUGAACUUGAAAUCACCCUCAAAGGUUCUUGUUAUCAUCCAUCUUAAACUCGUCAUGUCAGAAAGUUGUUCCAGUCGUGUUUUCUUUGGCGAGCGAACGCCGUAAAAUCAACUCCACCCUCUGUGAGUCCAAACAACUCCUCCAACUUGUCAGUCAUUCAAUACAAUUAAUCAGGACCGUGAUUCUGCUGCAGCAAAUCAAACAAAAAUAUAAAGAGCUGAAACUCAGAAGUGGAAAACUGGUUUGAAUAUAAAAAAAAACUUCUUAUUUCAUGUUGAACAGGUCAUGUCCAUCUGUCUUUGUCUGUCAUUUUUCUUUCUACAGUCUGGAUCCUAAAAUACGUCCUCACAGGUCUUCCAGAUGUUCUGGUGUCCUGAUGGUCUGCUUAGUCCAGCUUUGUUUGACCACGCCUCCAAUUUUGUAGAGUAACAUUACUGUAGGUCAACAGUGCUAUUCAGUGGUCAGGUUACGAUGAGAGCGCCUCCUGUAAGCUACUUCAGGCGGCCUAAAGCGCUGGUACACUGAAUUAUUUUGAGUUUCAACAUCUCAUUUCAGAUUCAGAUAUGAACUUUUCCCCCUAAAAGUGAGCGUGAAGCGGCUGGGAUGCCAAUCAGCACCUCCAAGUCCGAGGCCAUGGUCCUCAGUCGGAAAAAGGUACACUGCCUUCUCCGAGUCGGAGGGGAGGUUCUGCUUCAAGUGGAGGAGUUCAAGGAUCUCAGGAUCUUGUUCACGAGUAAGGGUAGGAUGGAACGGGAGGAUCGGAGCGGUGUCAGCAGUGAUGCGGACGCCUAACCGAUCAGUCAUGGUGAAGAAAGAGCGGAGCCGCAAGGCCAGACUCUCGAUUUACCGGUCGAUCUACGUGCCGAUCCUCACCUAUGGUCAUGAACUUUGGGUAAUGACCGAAAGAACAAGAUCAAGGAUACAAGGGGCUGGAAUGGGUUUCCUCCUCAGGGUGUCCGGGCUCAGCCUUAGAGACAGGGAGACGCUCAGACUAGAACCGCUGCUCCUCCACGUCUAGAGGAGUCAGCUGAGUCAGCUGAUUAGGACGCCUUCUGGACGCCUCCUGUUAGAGAUGUUCCAGACAUGUCCCACUGGGAGGAGACCUUGUGGGCAGCCCAGGACUAGGUGGAGGGGACAAUAUAUCUCGUCUGGCCUGGGAGCGCCUGGGAAUCCCCCCAGAGGAGGAGCUGGUGGAAGUGGCCGGGGUGAGGGCCGGACCGGGAUGAAGCAGAAGAAAACGACGACGACGACGAUACAACAAAGUUCAUUUUAUCAACUUAUUUCAUUUUUCAUUAUCUCAACGUAACAAAGUUAGUUCUCUAGACUUAUUUUUUCGUUAUCUCAAUAUAACAAUGUUUGUAUAUGUAUGACAAUGGUGUUUUAGGUGACCUCAACGGUAACUUUUAAAAGAUUAGGAUAUUUCUAAAACGCCAUAGCCACCGUUGUCAACUGCGAGUCUGGGUUUUCAAAGAAAACGCUCCAUUUUGUGCAUCCCCCUUACACUUUCGAUGAUUUGUGCAUGACAGUUAAAUGCCUCCAUAUAAUAUAUGGUAAAAUAUAAAAUCCAAACCUGGAGGGCGUUUUUUAAAGUUACUGCUGAGGUUGGCUAAAACGCCAUUUCCGUUAUAAUAAGACACCAAACUCCGUUAUAUCGAGAGAAGAAGAUAAUAGGUCGAUAUCACGAGAUAACAGUGUAUAAAAAAAGAAAAAUCCAUGUCUGUUCUCGACUUCUGUAAUAUUGCCAAAUGUAAGAGUGCAUAUGAAAUUAAAAGUCUCCUCUUGUUCAUGUCGUUCAAAAAUAAGUCAAUAAAGAAGACCGUGUUCCUGCGCAGGACAGAAAGAUUUACAGAGAUUAGCAGAAAAAUGUUCUCCUGACCUCUGGUGAAGCUCUCAGAGAUCUGGUUUCUUUCUGGAGGAACAGUUCGAAUAAAUCAUAAUGAAAACUGAAAUUAUCUCCCUCUGUUUGUGCAAUAAAAAAAAAAGAGCUUAGUCCUUCUUCGCUUUGCAGGAACAUCAGGUGCAGAACACACUAGACUGAUAUUAUUACUUCUCAUGAUGGAGCUUAUUUUACUUCACAAACUGUGCAAGAGCGGCGGUACGACGGGAGAAAUAGAAAAGACAGAAUCAUGCUGUCAUUUCCAGUCGUGUAAUUGUCACAGUUAAACGGCUCUGGCAGCUGUGACACGCUGAAAUCUCAGGUCAGGACUUUAAUACUCGGCAGCCAGAAGAAAGAGGUUGUACCGGCUCGAGGCCCCCGGCGCUCCCUCAGAGUUCACAGAGGGCGUAAUAAAGGAAAUUAGAGUAAUAACUGGUGGGGGGAUAUGCAUAGCGGGUUAUGUAAUUGUACUCUAUAUCAAUCAAUAAAGUCUUGACCUGGGAAAUGAGCCUGGCAUUAAGUCUGGGAGUCUGUUUCUUGGCACCUGCUGUGAGCGCUGAAAUGAAAAUCAGCAUGCAGUGACGGGGGAGAGAGGAGCGAGAGCCGAGCCGAGCGACUGCUACGCUUAAUGUGCUGACUGACAGGACUGCAGGGUGUGCAGUGCUUGAUGGGGAGGCUGCCGACAUAUACUGUCAUAUUUACAAUUGUAAUUUUGAAAUAAAGUUGUUUUUUCUUACCACAGCCUGUCAAAGCACACCUACAACAACAAUUGGAGUUUUAAGAGGAAAAAUAAGAGUCGCUGCUCCUUUAGUCACUCGUUGGAUACGGUGAGUAAAUCAUGAAUAUUUGACUAAAAACAUUUAAAAAACAAAUGUUCUGUAUUAAAAGCACAUUUUUUGACGUUGAAAAUCAAGUAAUCCGCGUGAAAAUCAGUUGAGACGUGAGCGAGAUUUGAUUUAAUUUCUACGUACAUCUAAUGCCUUUAGUGGGAACGUUGCCCCCACCAAGAUGGCCGCCACGUAGGCACAUUGCUUAUGCUGCGUUUCAAUUACCUCAGGAAUCGGAUGUCAGAGCUGGGAAUGACGUUACACACACAUUGACAGCGUUCCAGUAAACAAGUCAGAAAAUGAAGAUGGACGCCUACUGUUAGCUGAUGUAAGUUGUUGUUAGCUAUCGUUAGCAGUUGUUAGCUGUUGUUAGUUGUUGUUAGCUAUCGUUAGCAGUUGUCAGCUGUUGUAAGUUGUUGUUAGCUAUCGUUAGCGGUUGUUAGCUGUUGUUAGUUGUUGUUAGCUAUCGUUAGCGGUUGUUAGCUGUUGUUAGUUGUUGUUAGCUAUCGUUAGCGGUUGUUAGCUGUUGUUAGUUGUUGUUAGCUAUCGUUAGCGGUUGUUAGCUGUUGUAAGUUGUCGUUAGCUAUCGUUAGCGGUUGUUAGCUGUUGUUAGCUAUUGUUAGCGUUUGUCAGCUGUUAUUGUUAUUAGCUGUUGUCAGCUAUCAUUUGUGGUUGUCAGCUGUGGUUAGGUAUCCUUAAAGGUAAAGUGCAUAUAAAUAUUAGUGUUUAGCAAUAACUAAUGAUGUGUUUGAUUUACCUCGGAAAAAGAUGGCUACAUCUACUUAAGUUAUUUUGGCCCUUGCCUUAUGUUCGGACAAAGCAAAAGCUAAAAUAACUUUCAUAGGUGUAGCCAUUGUGUUUUCGCCUCUGAUUUAGCUUUUUUCCAACUUGGUAACUGAAACGCUGGGAACUCGGGUGUGACGUCAUUUUCAGCUCCGACAUCUGACCUCCGAGGAAACUCAAAUGUAGCAGAGUGAUCGUACUCUAGUUUGAAAAGAUGGUGGCCUUCGAGGACAAGAAGCUCAUAAUGCACUUCUAAUAUGAUUCUCCAUCCACCACCUUCUGCUUCCUCAUCGUCCAAUCAGUGAAGUUCACGCCGCCCCUCACUUAAUGCGAGAUUUCGUGUUACUAGUUCCUCUGUAACCAAAGUUUCAUGGCGAGGAAGAUGGCGAAAUAAUCAUCUUUUAUGUUUAACUCACUCGACACAAAUCAAAACUCACUCCUUUAGUUUUUGUGUUUCUGCUAAAAGUUCCUUACUGUAUCUUUAAAGCUCCACUCACAAACACUGUAAAAGCUCGAGCGUUAAAUCAGAGACAUGGUAUCUCAUAUGUGCUCUAAUUUCAUUUAGCGGCCCCCGGUGACUCGGGGUUAUUAUAAUACGUGUUAGCAGCUGGCUACUUCAUUAACACGCUGAGCUGUAGUUUCCCCCUCAGGAGCGUAACUCACCAGAGGAAGCAGGAGCCGCUAAGUGGAAAGUCGUCACUUCAGAGGUGGAAAAGACUGAACUCCAACAUGUCGGAGGGAAAAAAGAAACUCGUUUUUUUCUGCGUGGUGCUGCCUGUGAGGAGUCUUUUAAUUCAGAGCGUUUUUAUUGCCGCUAUAAUGUCUGCAAACACAGUAAUAUUACAGAAAAACAACACGCUGACAUUUAUGACGAUGAUAAAACUCGGGACUAAAAAUGGAGGGAAAGCUGUGAAAUCAGACGCAGCAGUAGUAAAAUAAAGUCUCGUGAAGGUUUUUAUCUUUGUUUUGUCUUUUUCUAAAUGUUUUUAUUUUCCUCCUUUUUUAUUAUCGACAUAUUUUCUCUGCUUCGGUGUUCAUUAGCCUCCUGUAGUGUUACGGCGUUUAUAUGUACAGUCUUAUUGUUAUAGGUUGUGACUCACCCGUAAAGUACUUUAAAGUGAACUACCCUGAAUAAAAGCGGCAAUCAAAGUUAUGUUUUACGAGUUUACUGAUUUUUUCUGCAAGUUUUAACAGGAGGAGGUUAUAACGUCCUCGUAUCCUUCGUCUGGGACGCGGUUAUAAGAGGCUCGUCCGUUUUCAGCUCCUCUGGUUAAUAUUAUCAGGAUCAAUGCUGAGGGUUUUUGUGUGAGAGUCAAACACAAUAAAAAAUAGAAAUGAUGAAGGUCACGGUCAGCUGGCCUGCCUGUGGGCGAAACUGAAAUAACAUGAAUGUGAGGAGGUGUCAAUCAAGCGGCAGAGGUCUGAGAUACGACCACAGGGUGGAGAGAGGACACCAGGGUCCUUAAAUUAGAAAAAAGGGGGCACUUUUAAGACCUGGGUCCAUUUGUUUUAACAUUAAUAUGAGUAUGAAUAACAAUAGUGACAUGUAAGGCAGUUAAAGAUUUAGAAAUCUGUGUCGUGAUGAAAAUACGAGACCGAAGACACGACAAAAAUACUGAUUGAUUCAACCGUUUUUUUUUUUGCUUUUGACUUUUUGAAACCGCCGCUAUCAAGUGUCGCACAUCAUUAAAAUCAGGACAACCUUAUGUUUCAUUAGCACCUUUUUUUUUCCUUUUCUUGGCCGAAAAAAGAUGUUUUCAUCAGAUUUGUAAAAAAAAAAAAAAAGAACGCCAGAAAAAUGUUUUUUCACUUUUAUCUGAAAUAAAACAUCAAGAAGUUUGUUUCUUCUCAUUUAGAAAGUUAGAUUUGGAUGUUUUACACUUUUACGUGAGUUUUUAGUCACAUCUGAUCUUUUCUCAGCGAGCUACAGCCUUUUUUUACAAACUUAUUCCAGGCGAUUUUGCACUGAUAACUGGUGUGUACAAAAAUUUAAGACCGUAAAUAAAAAGCAUAUAAAAUCGUAACGGGGGACAUGAAUGAUGUUGAUAUCCUGCAUCAAUACAACCAAAACAGGAGACCCCACAGUGUUUCACUCACAAACAACCAGAGUUACAGCAAUUUAAACUGAAAUCGGCAAAAUAUCAUGACAAACAAAACUGGUUUAAUUUCAUUGUUUAAAAAAUGUUGUUUGGAAAUUUGGUUUGGGAAAAAGGUGGAAGGAUUUUAGAAAUUUCAGUUCAAUUACGUGUCGUUCAAAAACUCUAUUCGUGCCUAAGAUUAACUGAAAAUACACUGAUUUAAAUUUCUUGUAGUCGAAUUAGACGAUGAGACUGAAGCUCGAUUAUCUCUCCAAUCUUUACGCCUCAAUCGGCCUCAAACUGGCCUCAGCGUUUUAAGCAUGCUCCACAGGAUUUGACCCACAAACUGAUCUAGGUAACAGCGUUUUGACGUCGACUCAAAAGGUGUUGAAGAGACGAUAUUUGUAUAAUACCAAAUAAACCCAUUCACCCUUCAUGAAAGCAUUUGUUGAUUAUUUUAGUGCGUGACGGAAUCAACCGGAAGGUGGACCAAUAAAAACAAGCUGAAAGAGGCCGAAACCAUCGACUGUAGAUGCUUUUAAUUCUUAAGGUAGUCCAGAAAUCGACACAUUGAAGCUCUGAGCAUAGCUGAGGAUAAAUGUGCAUGUAAACAAACCGAGUGUCUCUGGAGUUGAGGAAGAGAGUCAAAUAGGAUUUUUGAGCCUUUAAUUUUGCUUAAAAAGUCGACUUUCCAAACGGCGAGCACCAUAGACGCACCAAAGUCAGAGGAACGACUUUCUAAACUCGUGAACUUAUUUUCCUUUAAACAUGGACAAGCCAAGCUGCUCUUUUUCAGCUCCUUCCCAGCCACCUCGAGACUCCUUCAGACACCAAACUCCACGUUACGACGUCUCUCCCUGACACCCAAACUCCAGGCUUCAAACUGUCCCUUCUAAAACCCCGUCACUAAAGUCAAAUCCAAGUUCCAUAUUCCUGUAAAACCUGCAGGAUUCAGCUGGAUCGGCUGUUCGCAGGGAUUCAAUCUGUCACCUCCGGGGUUCGGUUCAGUCUCUCCACAUAACCGUGAGGCUAACGUCCGUCCUGCUAACAUCGAAAAACUUCAGCGGGAAAGGUCAGAGCCGAAGGCGCGGUCAAAGUGAUUGUCACGGGUUUGCAGGGGGAAUAUUUCCCUGCUGUAUAGGUCAACGUAGUGUUUCUUUUAAAGGUCAGAAAUGUAAAUGUCCCUCCUCUCCUCCUCUUCUUCACUUUCAUUUCAAAGUUUGAGGCGGAGGAACGAGCCACACUGCUGCCAUUACACUCGCCGCGCUAAUCUCUCCAUCGAUAAAAGAAAGAGGAAAAAUCUAAUAAGCUUAUUAACAAUGAGAGAAUUUUAAUCACAGAUGAGGAUUUUAUCAGCGCUCUGCGGGCCGCUCUGGAUCCAUCCGGCCCGCCGAAAAACUGGAUCCAGAGGAGGAGGGGGAGACGACGUCCGCUCAUUAUGAAAACAUUAACUCCAAAUCCAUUUGUUUUCCACGCUAAAAAGAGUCUGCAGACGAAUACUAAUCCAAUCUGCUCCAAGUAAUGAAAUCAUUAAUACAAAUUUAAUAAACGUCUGGGUUAUCCUCGCCGUGUUUCGGGGUUUUUCUGCUUUUAUCGGAGCGUUUCGGCCUCUUUGGCGCGCAGAGAUGGCCCUGAGAGUCAAUUCUAUAAUUAAGACACAUUAACUUGUAACACCUAACAGACGGGCUCAAUUACCACAGCGGCUAUUAAAUUAUAUUGGAGCGAGAGGCUGAGGGAACGGUGGCGUUCUCCACAUAUUACCGAGCACCUUUAUGAAGUUAUAAAAGAAAAAAAAAAGGACGUGUGUCUUUAUCGUAAAGGUGUUCGGAGGACUUUAUUGUGGCUCUGAGCGUCAAACUGAUCAAAUAAAGAUGAACCUGGAGUACGGGGACUUCACAUGUGUGUGUGUGUGUGUGUGUGGCAGCCGUCCCCCUAAACCAUAAAGUUAUAAAAUCAGAGGGUUAGUACGUACUUAAAAUCUGAUGUAUGUGGCGUGAAGUUUCCACACUCUUCUUAUUUGAGGUUUGGAUCCGAGUCCAGAACCUCAGACUCAGUUUCCACUCAGGAUGUGUUAAAGUCAUUACUGCACGUCCACAGAGAGGGGGGAGGUUAGCGUUUCCCUGUGCUGUGGCGCCCUCUGCUGGACUAACAGAGUAACACGAGCUCUAACCUGUUUGAGACCAGCUGCAGUGUUUCCAACAGGUUGAUGUACAGAACUCGUACAGUGGUGGUUCUGACCUACAUAAACAUGUUGUGUCAUUUUUAACCCUUUCACAUCCUCGAUAAAAAAUGUUUCUGGAUUUAUUAAAAGUUUUUUUUUUUAGCAAACAAAACAAAAAAUGACUUUAUUUUUAGAUUUGUUUAGAUUUUAAUUUUGGUUAUUUGGGGGCGGAGUCAAAUGUAACUGAUGGAGCAUUCCUGUAACCAUGGUAACUCUCAGCACAGGCCCUCAACUGAAACGUCUUACUGAUUAUACUGUGAAAUAAAAGAGAGAUUCUGGAAAAAAAUCAGCUGAAAUCACAACCACAACAAAUAAAGUCGCCAAAUUGGCAAAACAGAAAGUUUCACUUGUUUAAGUGAGUCGUACGUUGGGAGGAUUUGCACGUGCAAAGAAGAAGAUCAACCAAGACAGGCUGCCAAGUAUGAACAUUUCGCACAUCAUCCAGGAAUUUCACAAUUAAAGCCCCAUAUGCAAAAUUUCUCGGGUUGGUUAUCUGACUUUAUCUGCAGGUAACAGCACAUUAACCCGAGAGCACUGUCGCUAAAAUUAGUAUUGGUAGUCCUUGUCAUCAAAAUAUAUCAAUAUAGGACAAAACCUGACAAAUUAAAGUAUUUUUCUUUUAUUUCUAACUGUGUAAUGUCCAAAGGGAGGGGAAAAAGUGCCAUCAGGGGACCGAAAGAAUGCAACAAAAGAACCGAAAUUAGGCAUUCAUAAACAAAAAAUACCUUACAAAAAUCAAACAUAUAAACUGUAAACUUUUUUUUCCACCCAUUCCUGUGUCAUGUGCGUCUUCUCUGGUGAAGACUCGGGGUCUUUGGCACAAUAACAGGAGAGAGAACCAAAAUAUGGCAGAUUAGGAGUAAAAAUGACCAGCUGACUCAAAUAUUUCUCAUCACCAUAUGAAUUCCUUUGAAAAUCACGACUUUAUGAUAGUUAUUUAUAACCACAGUGCUAAAUAAAGGUAACAUGUAAAUUCCAGGACCAUUCUUACUGACCUUAUUCCCUACAUGCAGCUAUCAAAUCCACCCAAACCUACUUUACCCUCUAUCUCUAAAAUCACUCUGUGAACACGUAUCUGUAGGAAAAAGCAGGUUUUGGAAAAUCAGGGAAACAAAGAUCUCUUCAAAGAUGUCAAAGGAAAUGCUGGAGAUACCCAGAGACCCAUGAUACUCAGACAAACACGACAUCAUGAAAUUCAUGUGAACAUGUUUGGUUGUGUGGAAAUCACCCGACUAUAGUGUUCCAGGGUUAAAGUAGAUCUUCAUUCUCUAAACCCUAACCAUGAUGGUCUGCCCCAUAACAACGCCAAACGAGCAGGAAAUCAACCAGAAGGCUGUGGCGCCAUCUUCUGGUGACCUGAGGUGACUUCUACUUUAAAUGUUCAUGAUUCGAUCAUUCAUCACUCUGAGGUUUUCACACUUUCAUGGGCCGGAGGUCAAUCAGUCGUUGGACUUAGUUGGAGCUGCUGGGUCACAGGUCCAAGUCCUGCUGUGGACCAAAGUGUGAAGCUGGAGGGAGACCCCCGGAGCAAGGGACUGAACCUCCAGGUGCUCAAAAUGCGUAAGGAGCACCACAGGCUUUUUGUCCCCUUUCACAUUACCACAUGAAGACCACUAGAGGGCAGCACUCAACUUCACUAUGGGAAAUUCAUUCAGGAAUAGACUGAGCUGCUUUUUAUCCUGCAACUCAUGAACAAAUGGACCAAAGCAGCAACAUGAACAUACUUCAGAUGAUGCUUUUAUUUUUGCUAAGUUUGAGUUUUUCCUCAAAAAAGCUGCAUUAAAAUAAAAAAAUGUCUUUUUUUCUCUCAGAUCUGUUUAAACUCGGGAUACAGUGACGACCUUAAACCCAGAGGAUCAUGACUCCUGCAGAGCUGCUGGUACAGAGAUAUAACUCCUGUGUCCAGUCUGAGAUGGACCCAGAACCACAAUCUUAAAGGGAUAUUCCGGCAUAAAAUUAAACUUAGGAAAUGAGUCAAAGUUAAAAAGAUGUUUGGUGUCUAGUACUAUGUCUGUGACCCUAUAUGUACUGUUGAUGAAGUUAGGUGCUGUUCUGAGCAUUAUUUGUGGCUAUAGAGUGGCGUUUUGGUUGAGCGCGUGGCUCUCUGUACUGCUAUCCUGCGGUCGUUAUUAAAGUUGGUAUAACUAGAGAAGCAAGCAGUCGGCAACAUUCAUCUCUGGAGGGGGGGUCUGACUCUGUGUUACGGUGUGUUUGACCCUUCAUUAAUUUUACAGCGGAAUAUCCCUUUAACCCUGAACCACAUCAGUUAUCGCGUCCUGUCUUCACCACAAUCUUUAUCAUAAACUCCUGACUGAGUUCAGACGAGGAGAUGACCGUCUUUUCCUGGACCCGAUCCUCCUCAGGACAAGGUCACUCACGGGGUUUUAAAAAAGCUUUUUAAAACCGUUUUUCUUUAAUACUUAAAAAGUUAAUCCUCCCUCAGAGGAAAACUGUUCGGUCCAUGCCGCGAAGGCAAACGAGCCCCACAUGGGAGCCAUUUCAGGGGCACUCGCGGACUAAAUGAGUCUUUAAUAACACUCUGCAGAGGGCCUUGUAAUUGCGAGCGAGGGGAACUUUUUCUAAUUAUAAGCACUCGCAGGCACACACUCACUUCUUGCGCCUUCUGUAGCCUAGCAUGCCCCGUUAGCCGCGGUUCGCUAACCGUGCGGCUGAAACCACAUGAGAUACUGGAGAUUGCAGGCUGGCAGGAGUUUGUUCGGUUCGGGGUUUUCAGUCAGGGUUGGUUAGUAAAGUAAACACCAUGUGAAGUGGGCUGGGCGUUUGUGCAGAGAGACUCUAAACAAAAUCAAGGAAAGUACAAAUUUUCCGUAUGUUUGGCACCAGACUGAAACCGUGUUGUUUCUGCUCGGCAAUUAGAGGACGUGACUGUCAGCGUAAUUAUAACUUCCUAAUUGUGGCUGCUCUCUCUGCAAACUUGGAUCCCAGUUUGGAAAACAACAUUUUUCUCUCUUAUUGUUGGCUCCUUUCUGCCAGAAAUUCCACUUUGAGUUUGUGGCUGGAUGGUAUUUAAAUGAAAAAUCUGAGUUUAGUGAAAUCUGGUGAGUUAGAGAGCCUGGAAGAGUCAUGGAAAAGUUUGAAGGUACGUCUGAUGAUGUUUGGUUUUAGAAACCCUGUUAACUUCGUUUUAAUAAAGAGGAUUUGUUCAGAGGUUAGCUUUUUCAUUUCCACAUUUAAUAAUUCUUGGAUUAGGGUGACCACACAUCCUCUUCAGCCAGGACAUGUCCUCUUUUUGGGGGGCUGUCCGGCCUGUCCUGACCCUUCAUCUGUCCGGGGUUUGCUUAUAUGGUUUGCCUCUGAAUCUGUGGGUUCUCGUGAGUUCUCGCGAUCGUCGCUGUCGAUAAUCCACCACGAAACUCGCCUCACCAAUGGAUCCGGUAGGAAUUGGCGGACGUCAAAAAUCGGCACCGUUCGAAAUAGGAGCCAUUCCAGAUCUCCAAUGAAAAGUCCAAAGAUGGGUCGUGAACCCAGAACCACUUCCUCCAAAGGUGACAGCCCUACGACACCUGGUGUUUCUAUCUAAAAGGAUUUUUCACAUUUUUAACAUUGUUCAUUUCACUAGUAACUCUGCUGUUGUCUUUAGUCUAGCAUGAGUUCACUCUACUUCCAUAUUUCAGAGCCCUGAAACAGAAUCUCUGAAAUGUAAUUCAAAACAAACUUCAGAUUAGAUUUAAACUCUGAGUUAACUGAGAUUAAGUCCCACAAUCCCGUCUGCUGAUCACCGACACAGCUUCCAUCAUGGAAACCUGAUAAUCGCCGCACGCUGAGCUUUUGGGUCUCUCUCUCUCUCUCUCUCUCUCUCUCUCUCUCUCUCUCUCUCUCUCUCUCUCUCUCUCUCUCUCUCUCUCUCUCUCUCUCUCUCUCUCUCUCUCUCUCUCUCUCUCUCUCUCUCUCUCUCUCUCUCUCUCUCUCUCUCUCUCUCUCUCUCUCUCUCUCUCUCUCUCUCUCUCUCUCUCUCUCUCUCUCUCUCUCUCUCUCGUAAAUCCGUCACUUUUUUACACCUGAAAACUUUAUAAAGUCUCGAUCUGACCCCUAGAGCAGCCGGUCGCUCUGACUUUUACGCCCCCCGUGUGCCUGUCAGCAGUCACAGCUUAAUCCAGCAGGUGAUAAUGGAGCCUCCAGCUCUCGGUCUGUGAAAGGAAUCACCAUAAAGCGCCUCCCUCUGAGGCCCACAAAAUUCAUGGGUACGGAUACUAUCAAUUCCCCCAACUGUUUAAUGUCUUCAGCAGAGCGAUCUGUCUCUCAUUAGCUCACGCACAAGUGUUUAUUUUGGUGUAAAUCUGGAGCGAGACGGCAGGAGCUCCUCCAGCAGAGAGCUGACGCUGGAAAACAGAUUUCACCGUGCUGGAAAUGUUCAUUUUGUAGGAAUUAUAAUCAUUUUAGAUGUGAUUUUAAUUUCCUUAUUUCACUUAUACGGAGCUCAAACUGUGUGGACUCCUUCUACAGAACAGAUUAUUCAGAAGUCACCACUAGAGGGAGCUGUACGCCUAAAAAGAAGACACAGUUCACUGUUUCGACUCCUGUUGUUGCAUCUCUGUCCAUGUUUUCUGUUUUCAGAUUCUAUCUGAUGCAAACGUCCCUCUCACUGUCGACCUCUGACCUCUCUAAUUGCAGCAGAUAAUAGACGUCUACCAGCCCGUCCUCAGCGCUGACAGGUCUCCGUCCUGCAGCAGCAGCAGCAUCUGUUUUCUCUCUGCUCACCGGCCUGUCGGGGGUCACAGGCUGCACAGCGACGGGUUGUUUUGUCUGACUGUGGAUCCUCACAGGACGGUGGGAAAGAGUGAGUCAGAGCCGUGGAAGCUACAAGCUCCUCUUCUGCAAAUCACGUUUUAAACUUUUAUUUAUCGUCGGGUUGAGUCGCAGAAAAGUUCUGCAGACACUCGGGCCAGAGUUUAGAGUCAGGGGUCUUCAUCUGGUGCUGCUACAGAUCUGGAUCUACAGUAAUACGUCAGAAACAAGAAUCAGACACAGAUAAGACGGACCGCUCCACCACUGAGACACAAAAACACAAAUGAGGGUUCUACACUUUCAGGAGUUUGUGGCUGAUCUGGAUAUCAGGCUGACAGACGCUUUGCAGAAGCUGCUGCUGCUCAGGUGCAAUGCAUUCUGGUACAUGUAGGCGCUGCAGGGUUGGAGGACUCAUUUCUUUUUACAUGAACUGAGUAAUGCAUGCUUUUAUUUACAAAUGCACCAAAAAAAAUAAUAAUAAUAACUGAAGGAAGCUCGUCUCCUAAGUCCAAAAUUAAGUUUUUCUUUGGCUGUUUGAAAAACACCGUGGACCACCUGAAGUUUUAGAUUCAGCAGAAUUGUUUUAGAGUGAAGUGUGAGCAGACCUGACUGCAGAACAGCAUGGACUAAACUCUCCAUAACUGAACUUUUCUGGGUGUUUUUGAGGGUUUCUAAUCUGACAGAACUGGAGCAUAAGAACACUGCAUGAUGAGGCUGUUCAGACAGUCGUGUAUUUUGGUGUACUUUGCCUUUAAAUGGUCAGUUUUGUAAGUAUUUUAAUGAUCUUUUCCACCUCCAGCGUUUACUAAAUUGUCUUUGUGCAUUCAUAAAAAACCCGUAGAGUAAAAAAAACGUUUGUUUCACAGGUAAAGACCAAAAUCACAGUAUAAUUCAUCAGAUCUGAUUUGGCUCACUUUUCUAACAUGUUAUACAUCAUAAUAAUCUGUGAUACACUCAGUCUCUGCGGUACCAGGAUGUACAGAGACGCUAACGCAGCGUUGAUCCGAUGAUGGGAAAUCCCUUAAUCAGGAAAACACCACCAGGGACCCCGAAUGUGAAAGGCAGAGGGUAUUAGCAUGGAAAUAGAUAAUAUCCCCUCCCUCUGAGCUCUGCUGCAGCUCCUGCAAACACACACACACACAAACACACACACACACACACACCACCGUGAUCUCUACCUCCACACCUCCUCUCUUGUUAUCAGCGCGGCUCCCUACCAGGGGCUUAUGUUUGUGCCAGGCACAGCCAGCAGCCUGGGCUUCCAUUAACCAGAGCCGCUCUGUGUGAGGGAGUGUAAUACUGCCGCUGAAUCUGACAUACAUGAUAUAAGGUGGAAGGAGAAGCAGACUUUAAUUAUUUUAUACUUGAAUUUGUUGAAUAAAAUGUGGAUUUAAUGUUUUUAACCUUUUUAAACCUACAGAAAUGAAACAAGAACCGAAAUGAGCAACAAAAAACUUUGCAAAUCAUGUUUUUUUAUAUCCAGCGUUCAGGUUGUAGAUGCACAAUCCUUAAUAAUCUGUAUAUAACCCACCAAACCUUCAGCUGUGACUGUUUCCCUGAGGCAGAGGUGGGUAUAUGCUGUUUUUUUUUUCUUCUGCAGGGUUCUGCCCAGACAAGAGCUGAAGCUGUCGAACAUGGAGGAAGUCAGGUGAAGUUACAGGCUGUUUAAGAAAGGGUAAGGAGAAGUGGAGAGUAGAAGAAGGCGUGCAGCAGAUGGUCAAACCCCUAGACCUGUGGCAUUUACAGGUACGAGAGGUAGAAGCUAAUUGGAGCGUAUUUCAACCAAAAUGCAUUUCAUACCACCAGCCAGCAGGUGGCAUUCAUCGUCAGGCCCCGUU